AUCAAAUCUUUAACUCCCUCCACUUUCGCAACCCUUCCUCUCCUCUCCUCUCCUCUCCUUCACACACGCACGCACUCACUCACCUCAGCAGCAGAGCAACACGGAAUGGCGUCGUCGUUCAGCACCGCCGCCUCUCUCUCAUCCCCCAAGCUCGCUCCAUCGCCCAACGCCCCUCUCUCUCCUCCCGUCAGAUCUCUCCCUCUCCUCUCUCCCCCCUCCUCCUCUCUCUUCCCGAACCUCUCUUCGUCUCUGAAGCCCCCUCGCAGCGCUCCUCCGUUCGCCGUCAAAGCUUCUUCUUCUUCUCCCGCCUCCGUAGCCCAGUCUCAAGGCAUCAAGAUUAAAUCUGUUCCGACAAAGCCGAUCGAAGGCCAGAAAACCGGAACAAGUGGUCUUCGAAAGAAGGUUAAAGUAUUUAUGCAAGAAAACUACCUUGCCAAUUGGAUUCAGGCAUUGUUUAAUUCGUUGCCUCCGGAGGAUUUCAAUGAUGGGUUGUUGGUGUUAGGAGGUGAUGGUCGAUAUUUUAACAGAGAAGCUGCCCAGAUAAUAAUUAAGAUUGCUGCCGGGAACGGAGUUGGCAAAAUAUUGGUUGGCAAGGAGGGUAUUUUGUCCACACCAGCUGUUUCCGCUGUAAUCCGGAAGAGAAAGGCCAAUGGUGGUUUUAUAAUGAGUGCAAGUCAUAAUCCUGGUGGACCUGAAUAUGAUUGGGGUAUCAAGUUUAACUACAGCAGUGGGCAACCUGCACCCGAGUCCAUCACUGACAAGAUUUACGGGAACACUCUUUCCAUAUCUGAAAUUAAGAUGGCAGAAAUCUCAGAUGUCGACCUCUCUUCUCUCGGAGUUACUAAGUAUGGGAACUUCAGUGUUGAAGUAGUUGAUCCAGUUUCUGACUAUUUGGAGCUGAUGGAGAAUGUGUUUGAUUUCUUGCUUAUUAGAAGUCUUCUUUCACGGGCAGAUUUCAGGUUUAUAUUUGAUGCCAUGCAUGCAGUUACAGGUGCUUAUGCCAAACCCAUCUUUGUAGACAAGCUAGGAGCGAGUUCAGAUUCCAUUUCAAAUGGAGUGCCUCUUGAAGAUUUUGGGCAUGGUCAUCCAGAUCCCAAUCUCACAUAUGCUAAGGAUUUGGUCGACAUCUUGUUUAGCGAGAAUGCCCCUGAUUUUGGUGCUGCAAGUGAUGGCGAUGGUGACAGAAACAUGAUUCUUGGUCGAGGUUUUUUUGUCACUCCUUCAGAUUCAGUUGCAAUUAUUGCAGCCAAUGCUCAAGAAGCCAUACCAUACUUCCGGGGUGGCCCUAAAGGUUUAGCUCGAUCAAUGCCAACAAGUGGUGCUCUUGAUCGUGUUGCUGAGAAGUUGAAUCUUCCCUUUUUUGAGGUCCCUACAGGUUGGAAAUUCUUUGGGAAUCUUAUGGAUGAUGGAAAACUGUCGAUCUGCGGGGAAGAAAGUUUCGGAACAGGCUCUGAUCACAUUCGUGAGAAGGAUGGCAUAUGGGCUGUGUUGGCUUGGCUUUCAAUACUUGCAUAUCAAAACAAGGAUAAAUCUCCUGGGGAGAAAUUGGUUUCUGUCUCUGAUGUUGUAAAGGAGCAUUGGGCUACAUACGGAAGAAACUUCUUUUCUAGAUAUGAUUAUGAAGAAUGUGAAUCUGAAGGAGCCAACAAAAUGAUAGAAUAUCUUAGAGAUAUGGUUUCUAAGGGCAAGCCAGGUGAUAAAUAUGGAAGCUAUGCUCUUCAAUUUGCAGAUGACUUCACAUAUAUUGAUCCUGUAGAUGGCAGUGUGGCAUCCAAGCAAGGUGUUCGUUUUGUGUUUAGUGAUGGAUCCAGGAUAAUAUUUCGUUUAUCGGGGACUGGUUCUGCUGGUGCAACUGUGAGAAUGUACAUUGAACAGUUCGAGCCAGAUGUUUCAAAACAUGACAUGGAUGCCCAAACUGCACUAAAACCAUUAAUAGAUCUGGCGCUCUCUGUAUCAAAGUUGAAGGACUUCACUGGAAGGGAGAAGCCUACAGUUAUUACAUAGAGCUAAGUGUCUGAUGUUAAUCUCACACGAGGAUGCUGCAUUAUUACGAAUGUCAAAUCAGUAUAUUGUUGUGAUAAACGUCCUGCAGAUUUCGGACAAUACAGACACUAUCCAACAUAAUCUUUUGAGCAAGAAUUGGUGUUUUGUUUCUCUAGAAUCUCUUGUCUAAUAGUCACUAGGUCAAUUGACAUUGUUAACUGUCUGGAAGCUAGCUGCUUAGAAAUUCGCCACUCAUC
Rhododendron vialii is the source of this 2240-nucleotide RNA transcript. It is a transcript of the gene named phosphoglucomutase, chloroplastic, with no coding region annotated. The transcript is spliced from 23 exons. Lineage: Eukaryota; Viridiplantae; Streptophyta; Magnoliopsida; Ericales; Ericaceae. The record is from RefSeq and is a predicted model, not a curated record.